GUUUCUUUUGAUGCUGGUUGGCAGACUCGAGGAAGUGGUAGAAACUAUGCCAGUCUUUCAGGUCAUGGAAGUAUGAUAGGCGUGAACACAGGCAAAGUGUUGGCAUAUUCCUUUCGCAGUAAGAAAUGUCGAUUUUGUGACAGAGCGAAA
Long non-coding RNA from Ostrea edulis (European flat oyster), 150 nucleotides. RefSeq lists it as uncharacterized. The transcript has 2 exons. Lineage: Eukaryota; Metazoa; Mollusca; Bivalvia; Ostreida; Ostreidae. The record is from RefSeq and is a predicted model, not a curated record.